Molecule: ribosomal RNA, 109 nt
Filed under: Stomatobaculum sp.
Lineage: Bacteria; Bacillati; Bacillota; Clostridia; Lachnospirales; Lachnospiraceae
Description: partial 23S ribosomal RNA
Rfam family: Bacterial large subunit ribosomal RNA
Source: RNAcentral
CAUACGCAAGUAGUAAGACCCCUUAAAGACGAUAAGGUAGAUAGGGCAGAGGUGUAAGCAUGGUGACAUGUUCAGCUGACUGCUACUAAUCGGUCGAGGGUUUAACCAA